Molecule: ribosomal RNA, 220 nt
Filed under: uncultured bacterium
Lineage: Bacteria
Description: partial 16S ribosomal RNA
Rfam family: Bacterial small subunit ribosomal RNA
Source: RNAcentral
GAUCCUGGCUCAGGACGAACGCUGGCGGCGCGCCUAACACAUGCAAGUCGAACGAGAGAAGAAGAGCUUGCUUUUCUGAUCGAGUGGCGAACGGGUGAGUAACGCGUGAGGAACCUGCCUCAAAGAGGGGGACAACAGUUGGAAACGACUGCUAAUACCGCAUAAGCCCACGGCUCGGCAUCGAGCAGAGGGAAAAGGAGCAAUCCGCUUUGAGACGCGC